GAUAAACGCUGGCGGCGUGCAUGAGACAUGCAAGUCGAACGAACAAUCCAGGGCUUGCCCUGGGGCGUUAGUGGCGAACGGCUGAGUAACGCGUGGGUGACCUGCCCGGAAGUGGGGAAUAACUGCCCGAAAGGGUGGCUAAUACCGCAUGUGGUCAUAAGUUCAUUCUUCUGACCAAAGCCUUCGGGCGCUUCUGGAGGGGCCUGCGUUCGAUUAGCUCGUUGGUGAGGUAACGGCUCACCAAGGCGACGAUCGAUAGGUGGUCUGAGAGGAUGAUCACCCAGACUGGGACUGAGACACGGCCCAGACUCCUACGGGAGGCAGCAGUCGGGAAUUUUGCCCAAUGGGGGAAACCCUGAGGCAGCAACGCCGCGUGAGGGAUGAAGGCCUUCGGGUUGUAAACCUCUUUUCUCAGGGACGAUAAUGACGGUACCUGAGGAAUAAGCCACGGCUAACUACGUG
RNAcentral lists this ribosomal RNA (462 nucleotides) under uncultured bacterium. Its description in RNAcentral is "bacterial SSU rRNA". It matches the Rfam family "Bacterial small subunit ribosomal RNA", at positions 28 to 507 of the family's 1533-position model. The record is from RNAcentral.